GGGCACUUGGCACAGUGGUAGCGCGCACGCUUCGCAUCUUGUUGAGUAGAUUGCGUGAGGUCGGGAGUUCAAUCCUCCCAGUGUCCA
This 87-nucleotide transfer RNA is filed under the name Athelia sp. TMB. It matches the Rfam family "tRNA". From Rfam's summary of the family: Transfer RNA (tRNA) molecules are approximately 80 nucleotides in length. Their secondary structure includes four short double-helical elements and three loops (D, anti-codon, and T loops). Lineage: Eukaryota; Fungi; Basidiomycota; Agaricomycetes; Atheliales; Atheliaceae. The record is from Rfam by way of RNAcentral.